UACGGAGGGUGCAAGCGUUACUCGGAAUUACUGGGCGUAAAGCGUGCGUAGGUGGUGAGUUAAGUCUGUCGUGAAAGCCCCGGGCUCAACCUGGGAAUGGCGAUGGAUACUGGCUCGCUAGAGUGCGGUAGAGGAGAGUGGAAUUCCCGGUGUAGCAGUGAAAUGCGUAGAUAUCGUAAGGAAGACCAGUGGCGAAGGCGGAUCUCUGGACAGUUACUGACACUGAGGCACGAAGGCCAGGGGAGCAAACGGG
Molecule: ribosomal RNA, 253 nt
Filed under: uncultured bacterium
Lineage: Bacteria
Description: partial 16S ribosomal RNA
Rfam family: Bacterial small subunit ribosomal RNA
Source: RNAcentral